This 854-nucleotide long non-coding RNA is filed under the name Mytilus galloprovincialis (Mediterranean mussel). Lineage: Eukaryota; Metazoa; Mollusca; Bivalvia; Mytilida; Mytilidae. The record is from RNAcentral.
GUAAGGGAACAGUCAUUAUUUACCAGCUGGGGGGUUUGGGAAAUUUUUUUGUGAAAUGAACAAAAUAAAAAUGAACCCCCCAGUCAUAUUGUAAAUUUAAAAAUGACCCCCCCAAAUGUAGUUAACAAAAAACUUUGACCCCCCCAUCUGGUUAUAUUAUUUAUUAAUGAUUUAAACCAUUUAAUUAACAGCAUAUUUUUAGCUCACCUGGCCGGCAGGGCCAAGUGACCUUUUCUCAUCACUUGGCGUCCGUCGUUGUCGUUAACAUUUUACAUUUUGAACUUCUCCUCGAGAACCACUGAAUGGAAUGAAACCAACCAUGGCAUUAAUGUUCCUUAUGAGGUGCUGACCAAGAGUUGUUACUUUGUAGCCGAUCCAUCAUCCAAGAUGGCCGCCAGCGGGGGACUUAGUUUAACAUAGGAACCUAUGGGAAAUGCAUACAAAUGACUUCUUUUAGAGUACCACUGAAUGGAAUGAAACCAAACAUGGCAUGAGUGUUCCUUAUGAGGUGCUGACAAAGUGUUGUUACUUUGUACCCGAUCCAUUAUCCAAGAUGGCCGCCAGACUGGGGCUUAGUUUAACAUGGUACACUAUAGGAACUACUGAAUGAAAUAAAACCAAACAUAACAAUAUUAAACCAAAUUUGGACUAUAACAUCAUUAUAAGUAUCUGUUACAAUUUUUUACAUUUUUUAUUAAUAUUUCAAAAUCCCAAAUAGAAUCAGGUGAGCGACACAGGCUCUUGAGAGCCUCUAGUUUAAUGUGGUUAUCAAGAAUUCUAUUUUGUCCAUAAUUAAAAAUAUCUCAAUGUAUAAAACUAUCAACUGCAUUUGGGUUGGUCCCUAGGAUAAAGCU